RNAcentral lists this ribosomal RNA (774 nucleotides) under uncultured Neocallimastigales. RNAcentral's name for it is "partial large subunit ribosomal RNA". It matches the Rfam family "Eukaryotic large subunit ribosomal RNA", at positions 18 to 622 of the family's 3401-position model. The record is from RNAcentral. Lineage: Eukaryota; Fungi; Neocallimastigomycota; Neocallimastigomycetes; Neocallimastigales.
UCAGACGAUGCGUCAUGCAUAUCAAUAAGCGGAGGAAAAGAAACUAACAAGGAUUCCCUUAGUAACGGCGAGUGAAGCGGGAAGAGCUCAAAUUUGAAAUCUUCAAGGUUUUACCUUGACGAAUUGUAGUUUAAAGAAGUGUUUUCUGCUGAAGUUUUGGUAAAAGUUCUUUGGAAUAGGACAUCAUAGAGGGUGAGAAUCCCGUAUUUGACCAUUAUUUUCAGCUGUGUGAUACACUUUCAAAGAGUCGGAUUGUUUGGGAAUGCAGUCCAAAAUGGGUGGUAAAUUUCAUCUAAAGCUAAAUAUUGGCGAGAGACCGAUAGCGAACAAGUACCGUGAGGGAAAGAUGAAAAGAACUUUGAAAAGAGAGUUAAACAGUACGUGAAAUUGUCAAAAGGGAAGCGUUUGACACCAGUGUUGUUUUCUCGAAAAUCAAUUAAAAAGAGUUAGAUUUUGUUGUGUAUUGACCUUAACAGCUUGCAUUUCAAUUUUCUUGCUUUUUUUAAUGCACUUUUCGUUUAACAAGUCAACAUCAGUUUCUUUUGUUGUAAAAAGGUCAUUGGAAGGUGGCUUUCUUUUCGGAGAAAGUGUUUAUAGCCUUUGACUCCUGCAAUCGGAGAGACUGAGGUCUGCAGCGUAGAUCCUUCGGGGUUAGAUACAUUUGUGCUAAGUUAUAGCUUUUUAUAGACAACUUGUUGACUAUGAUUAGUCUUGUAGCUUACUCGCUUAUGCUAUUUUACCUACGCUUAGGAUGUUGAGUCGUAGAGCACGCAG